GGAAUCUUCCACAAUGGACGAAAGUCUGAUGGAGCAACGCCACGUGAGUGAAGAAGGGUUUCGGCUCGUAAAACUCUGUUGUUAAAGAAGAACAUAUCUGAGAGUAACUGUUCAGGUAUUGACGGUAUUUAACCAGAAAGCCACGGCUAACUACGUGCUAG
Molecule: ribosomal RNA, 161 nt
Filed under: uncultured bacterium
Lineage: Bacteria
Description: partial 16S rRNA
Rfam family: Bacterial small subunit ribosomal RNA
Source: RNAcentral